AUUGAACGCUGGCGGCAGGCCUAACACAUGCAAGUCGAGCGGAUGAAGGGAGCUUGCUCCUGGAUUCAGCGGCGGACGGGUGAGUAAUGCCUAGGAAUCUGCCUGGUUGUGGGGGAUAACGUCCGGAAACGGGCGCUAAUACCGCAUACGUCCUGAGGGAGAAAGUGGGGGAUCUUCGGACCUCACGCUCUCAGAUGAGCCUAGGUCGGAUUAGCUAGUUGGUGGGGUAAAGGCCUACCAAGGCGACGAUCCGUAACUGGUCUGAGAGGAUGAUCAGUCACACUGGAACUGAGACACGGUCCAGACUCCUACGGGAGGCAGCAGUGGGGAAUAUUGGACAAUGGGCGAAAGCCUGAUCCAGCCAUGCCGCGUGUGUGAAGAAGGUCUUCGGAUUGUAAAGCACUUUAAGUUGGGAGGAAGGGCAGUAAGUUAAUACCUUGCUGUUUUGACGUUACCAACAGAAUAAGCACCGGCUAACUUCGUG
This 484-nucleotide ribosomal RNA is filed under the name uncultured bacterium. Its description in RNAcentral is "partial 16S ribosomal RNA". It matches the Rfam family "Bacterial small subunit ribosomal RNA", at positions 30 to 507 of the family's 1533-position model. The record is from RNAcentral.